Long non-coding RNA from Hyaena hyaena (striped hyena), 376 nucleotides. RefSeq lists it as uncharacterized. The transcript has 3 exons. Lineage: Eukaryota; Metazoa; Chordata; Mammalia; Carnivora; Hyaenidae. The record is from RefSeq and is a predicted model, not a curated record.
GCACUUCUCCGAGAGCUGGGAAUUUUUUUUUUUAUAAACCACAACCAAACCUUCGUUGACACCUUUGCCAAGCCAAUAAACUGCAGUUCAUGGGAAAGACUUCAGUCUCUCCUCCUCUGACUCGGGACAGUUGGAGGAGCAGGACUCAGAGAUUCACUUUGGCAUGACCCUGUAAUAAUGCAGAGUCACUGACCAUCUGGCUCAGCUGGGAGUAGAGCUGCUGGAUGACCCCAGGAGAAAUGCACGCCCAUUGUAGAAACAUCAGAAAAUGUAGCAAGAUUCAAAAGGAAAAAAAAAAAAGUCAAAUAACUUAGUACCUCAGCUGUCUCUGCAGCCAUCUUUCUUUGCAUAUCUGGGCCUACCUUUAAUUUUUAAA